Molecule: ribosomal RNA, 662 nt
Filed under: Enterobacter sp. F13
Lineage: Bacteria; Pseudomonadati; Pseudomonadota; Gammaproteobacteria; Enterobacterales; Enterobacteriaceae
Description: bacterial SSU rRNA
Rfam family: Bacterial small subunit ribosomal RNA
Source: RNAcentral
GGUGACGAGCGGCGGACGGGUGAGUAAUGUCUGGGAAACUGCCUGAUGGAGGGGGAUAACUACUGGAAACGGUAGCUAAUACCGCAUAACGUCGCAAGACCAAAGAGGGGGACCUUCGGGCCUCUUGCCAUCAGAUGUGCCCAGAUGGGAUUAGCUAGUAGGUGGGGUAAUGGCUCACCUAGGCGACGAUCCCUAGCUGGUCUGAGAGGAUGACCAGCCACACUGGAACUGAGACACGGUCCAGACUCCUACGGGAGGCAGCAGUGGGGAAUAUUGCACAAUGGGCGCAAGCCUGAUGCAGCCAUGCCGCGUGUAUGAAGAAGGCCUUCGGGUUGUAAAGUACUUUCAGCGAGGAGGAAGGCAUUGUGGUUAAUAACCGCAGUGAUUGACGUUACUCGCAGAAGAAGCACCGGCUAACUCCGUGCCAGCAGCCGCGGUAAUACGGAGGGUGCAAGCGUUAAUCGGAAUUACUGGGCGUAAAGCGCACGCAGGCGGUCUGUCAAGUCGGAUGUGAAAUCCCCGGGCUCAACCUGGGAACUGCAUUCGAAACUGGCAGGCUAGAGUCUUGUAGAGGGGGGUAGAAUUCCAGGUGUACGCCUGAAAUGCGUAGAGAUCUGGAGGAAUACCGGUGGCGAAGGCGGCCCCCUGGACAAAGACUGACG